UACAGAGGUCCCGAGCGUUGUUCGGAUUCAUUGGGCGUAAAGGGUGUGUAGGAGGUCUUGUAAGUCGGGCGUGAAAUCUCACCGCUUAACGGUGAAACUGCGUUCGAUACUGCUUGGCUAGAGGAUCGGAGGGGGUAUCGGAAUUCAUGGUGUAGCAGUGAAAUGCGUAGAUAUCAUGAGGAACACCGGUGGCGAAAGCGGAUACCUGGAGGAUUCCUGACUCUGAAACACGAAAGCUAGGGGAGCAAACGGG
This 253-nucleotide ribosomal RNA is filed under the name uncultured bacterium. Its description in RNAcentral is "partial 16S ribosomal RNA". It matches the Rfam family "Bacterial small subunit ribosomal RNA", at positions 524 to 776 of the family's 1533-position model. The record is from RNAcentral.